RNAcentral lists this ribosomal RNA (468 nucleotides) under uncultured bacterium. Its description in RNAcentral is "partial 16S ribosomal RNA". It matches the Rfam family "Bacterial small subunit ribosomal RNA", at positions 28 to 507 of the family's 1533-position model. The record is from RNAcentral.
GACGAACGCUGGCGGCGUGCUUAACACAUGCAAGUCGAACGGAAAGGCCCUGCUUUUGUGGGGUGCUCGAGUGGCGAACGGGUGAGUAACACGUGAGUAACCUGCCCUUGACUUUGGGAUAACUUCAGGAAACUGGGGCUAAUACCGGAUAGGAGCUCCUGCUGCAUGGUGGGGGUUGGAAAGUUUCGGCGGUUGGGGAUGGACUCGCGGCUUAUCAGCUUGUUGGUGGGGUAGUGGCUUACCAAGGCUUUGACGGGUAGCCGGCCUGAGAGGGUGACCGGCCACAAUGGGACUGAGAUACCGCCCAGACUCCUACGGGGGGCAGGAGUGGGGAAUAUUGCACAAUGGGCGGAAGCCUGAUGCAGCAACGCCGCGUGCGGGAUGACGGCCUUCGGGGUGUAAACCGCUUUCGCCUGGGACGAAGCGUGAGUGACGGUAAUGGGUAAAGAAGCACCGGCUAACUACGUG